AACCGGGGGAACUGAAACAUCUAAGUACCCCGAGGAAAAGAAAUCAACCGAGAUUCCCCCAGUAGCGGCGAGCGAACGGGGAGGAGCCCAGAGCCUGAAUCAGUGUGUGUGUUAGUGGAAGCGUCUGGAAAGGCGCGCGAUACAGGGUGACAGCCCCGUACACAAAAAUGCACAUACUGUGAGCUCGAUGAGUAGGGCGGGACACGUGGUAUCCUGUCUGAAUAUGGGGGGACCAUCCUCCAAGGCUAAAUACUCCUGACUGACCGAUAGUGAACCAGUACCGUGAGGGAAAGGCGAAAAGAACCCCGGCGAGGGGAGUGAAAAAGAACCUGAAACCGUGUACGUACAAGCAGUGGGAGCCUCUUAAUGGGGUGACUGCGUACCUUUUGUAUAAUGGGUCAGCGACUUAUAUUCUGUAGCAAGGUUAACCGAAUAGGGGAGCCGAAGGGAAACCGAGUCUUAACUGGGCGUUAAGUUGCAGGGUAUAGACCCGAAACCCGGUGAUCUAGCCAUGGGCAGGUUGAAGGUUGGGUAACACUAACUGGAGGACCGAACCGACUAAUGUUGAAAAAUUAGCGGAUGACUUGUGGCUGGGGGUGAAAGGCCAAUCAAACCGGGAGAUAGCUGGUUCUCCCCGAAAGCUAUUUAGGUAGCGCCUCGUGAAUUCAUCUCCGGGGGUAGAGCACUGUUUCGGCAAGGGGGUCAUCCCGACUUACCAACCCGAUGCAAACUGCGAAUACCGGAGAAUGUUAUCACGGGAGACACACGGCGGGUGCUAACGUCCGUCGUGAAGAGGGAAACAACCCAGACCGCCAGCUAAGGUCCCAAAGUCAUGGUUAAGUGGGAAACGAUGUGGGAAGGCCCAGACAGCCAGGAUGUUGGCUUAGAAGCAGCCAUCAUUUAAAGAAAGCGUAAUAGCUCACUGGUCGAGUCGGCCUGCGCGGAAGAUGUAACGGGGCUAAACCAUGCACCGAAGCUGCGGCAGCGACACUAUGUGUUGUUGGGUAGGGGAGCGUUCUGUAAGCCUGUGAAGGUGUACUGUGAGGUAUGCUGGAGGUAUCAGAAGUGCGAAUGCUGACAUAAGUAACGAUAAAGCGGGUGAAAAGCCCGCUCGCCGGAAGACCAAGGGUUCCUGUCCAACGUUAAUCGGGGCAGGGUGAGUCGACCCCUAAGGCGAGGCCGAAAGGCGUAGUCGAUGGGAAACAGGUUAAUAUUCCUGUACUUGGUGUUACUGCGAAGGGGGGACGGAGAAGGCUAUGUUGGCCGGGCGACGGUUGUCCCGGUUUAAGCGUGUAGGCUGGUUUUCCAGGCAAAUCCGGAAAAUCAAGGCUGAGGCGUGAUGACGAGGCACUACGGUGCUGAAGCGACAAAUGCCCUGCUUCCAGGAAAAGCCUCUAAGCAUCAGGUAACAUCAAAUCGUACCCCAAACCGACACAGGUGGUCAGGUAGAGAAUACCAAGGCGCUUGAGAGAACUCGGGUGAAGGAACUAGGCAAAAUGGUGCCGUAACUUCGGGAGAAGGCACGCUGAUAUGUAGGUGAAGCGACUUGCUCGUGGAGCUGAAAUCAGUCGAAGAUACCAGCUGGCUGCAACUGUUUAUUAAAAACACAGCACUGUGCAAACACGAAAGUGGACGUAUACGGUGUGACGCCUGCCCGGUGCCGGAAGGUUAAUUGAUGGGGUUAGCGGUAACGCGAAGCUCUUGAUCGAAGCCCCGGUAAACGGCGGCCGUAACUAUAACGGUCCUAAGGUAGCGAAAUUCCUUGUCGGGUAAGUUCCGACCUGCACGAAUGGCGUAAUGAUGGCCAGGCUGUCUCCACCCGAGACUCAGUGAAAUUGAACUCGCUGUGAAGAUGCAGUGUACCCGCGGCAAGACGGAAAGACCCCGUGAACCUUUACUAUAGCUUGACACUGAACAUUGAGCCUUGAUGUGUAGGAUAGGUGGGAGGCUUUGAAGUGUGGACGCCAGUCUGCAUGGAGCCGACCUUGAAAUACCACCCUUUAAUGUUUGAUGUUCUAACGUGGGCCCCUUACCGGGGUUGCGGACAGUGUCUGGUGGGUAGUUUGACUGGGGCGGUCUCCUCCUAAAGAGUAACGGAGGAGCACGAAGGUUGGCUAAUCCUGGUCGGACAUCAGGAGGUUAGUGCAAUGGCAUAAGCCAGCUUGACUGCGAGCGUGACGGCGCGAGCAGGUGCGAAAGCAGGUCAUAGUGAUCCGGUGGUUCUGAAUGGAAGGGCCAUCGCUCAACGGAUAAAAGGUACUCCGGGGAUAACAGGCUGAUACCGCCCAAGAGUUCAUAUCGACGGCGGUGUUUGGCACCUCGAUGUCGGCUCAUCACAUCCUGGGGCUGAAGUAGGUCCCAAGGGUAUGGCUGUUCGCCAUUUAAAGUGGUACGCGAGCUGGGUUUAGAACGUCGUGAGACAGUUCGGUCCCUAUCUGCCGUGGGCGCUGGAGAACUGAGGGGGGCUGCUCCUAGUACGAGAGGACCGGAGUGGACGCAUCACUGGUGUUCGGGUUGUCAUGCCAAUGGCACUGCCCGGUAGCUAAAUGCGGAAGAGAUAAGUGCUGAAAGCAUCUAAGCACGAAACUUGCCCCGAGAUGAGUUCUCCCUGACUCCUUGAGAGUCCUGAAGGAACGUUGAAGACGACGACGUUGAUAGGCCGGGUGUGUAAGCGCAGCGAUGCGUUGAGCUAACCGGUACUAAUGAACCGUGAGGCUUAACCUUACAACGCCGAAG
RNAcentral lists this ribosomal RNA (2736 nucleotides) under Escherichia coli. Its description in RNAcentral is "partial 23S ribosomal RNA". It matches the Rfam family "Bacterial large subunit ribosomal RNA". Lineage: Bacteria; Pseudomonadati; Pseudomonadota; Gammaproteobacteria; Enterobacterales; Enterobacteriaceae. The record is from RNAcentral.